GUGUGUCUCUGUAUGUGUGUGUGUGUCUGUAUGUGUGUGUCUCUGUAUGAUACAGACACAUACAUACAGAGACACACACACAUACAGACACACACAUACAGACAGA
RNAcentral lists this microRNA precursor (106 nucleotides) under Pelobates cultripes (western spadefoot toad). The record is from RNAcentral. Lineage: Eukaryota; Metazoa; Chordata; Amphibia; Anura; Pelobatidae.